This is a non-coding RNA of Triticum aestivum (bread wheat), 124 nucleotides long. The record is from Rfam. Lineage: Eukaryota; Viridiplantae; Streptophyta; Magnoliopsida; Poales; Poaceae.
UUAAUACUCCCUCCGUCCGGAAGUACUUGUCAUUGAAAUGGAUGUAUCUACAUGUAUUUUAGUUCUAUAUACAUCUAUUUUCAUCCAUUUUGAUGACAAGUAAUUCGGGCGGAGGGAGUAUGUU